Gasterosteus aculeatus aculeatus (three-spined stickleback) is the source of this 529-nucleotide long non-coding RNA. The record is from Ensembl. Lineage: Eukaryota; Metazoa; Chordata; Actinopteri; Perciformes; Gasterosteidae.
UGAAAAGUGAGAUUUUCGUCCCCGUAAACGCCCGGAAAUCUCUCUAAUUUCCGACAAUUUCCGACAAUUUGCAACCCGCGCACGUCGCGUUUGUCUAAACAGUGUCACUUACACACAAUGACGUCGUCUAAAUCUGGACUUUUCCCGGAGCAAAUACGAGGUCACCGCCUCAUUAUGAGGCGAGAUUAGUCUGUGAAAACAAAAUGUACAGUUAUGAUCGGUAUCUAUACGUAUAUAUUUCCUUAUAGCGCAGAAUGAAAGCAUAUUCUUUUGUUGUUGGCGUUGACGAGACGAUCCACUGAGAGCAUUCAGCAGCUUCUUCUGUCUGUCUGCGGACUGGCCGAACGUUGGUGACCGCGGAGAGGAGUUGAAGGCGAGUUGAACGCGAGACGUCGUCCAGCCAUUAUUCACGAAGCAGCAAAAACCAAACAAAGGAACUGGAGAUACAGUUCUUCUGAAUAUAGUAACACACACACGUGUCUGUUUGUAUGCUCGUCUUGCAAGUACUGCUGUAUCAGUCAUGCCUAUG